GUAGUAUUUGGAUAGGAUGUUAUCAUCGCAGGAACUGAAAAAGCAAAAGGGACACAACUUGUUCAGCAAAGCAGGGUUCUUGAUUUUCCCUGGCAAAACACUCAGGUAAACCAUGCUUCAAGAGAUAUUUCUUCAAAAUGAAAUUUAUUCAAGAAACUGCUGCAUGAGAAUCUCGAGCAAAAUAAAGGAAAGGCACCAGAAAAAUGAAACUUGAGUAAGUGAGCCCUCAGCAGAAAUUGCCAUGCCGUUUCAUAUCCACGGCACGUUGCUCUUCCAACCCUGUUGAGGGCUAUGGCCUAUGUCCCUUAGCACACCCAGAAUGAUUGAUAUGGGUUGGCUGUGUCCCCACCCAAAUCUCAUCUGGAAUUGUAUGCCCAUAAUUCAUUCCCAUGUUUCAUGGGAGGAACCUGGUGGGGGGUAAUUGAGUCAUGGAGGCGGAUCUUUCCCAUGCUGUUCUCAUGAUAGUGAGUAAGUCUUAUGAGAUCUGAUGGUUUUAAAAAUGGGAUUUUCUCUGCACAAGUGCUCUCUCUUUGCCUGCUGCCAACCAUGUAGGAUGUGACUUGCUCCUCCUCGCCUUCCAUCAUGGUCAUGAGGCCUCCCCAGCCACAUGGAACUGUAAGUCCAUUAAACCUCUUUCUUUUGUAAACAGCCCAGUCUCAGGCAUGUCUGUAUCAGCAGCAUGAAAACGGACUAAUACAAUGAUGUUACUGGUUUCUAACUAUCAUUAUAAACAAUGGGGAUAAAACUUCCACUUUUAGUCAACUUUAGGUGAAUCCCUUGUUGCUGCUAACCAGUCCUUGUAACCACUUUUCACAAUGCCCAUCUCCCACAGUUGUUAUAAACCUUGCAAACCUUUAUCAGUCACUGGAGACCUCAAACCUGUCCUUCUUCCAUAACUUAUAGCAGAGAAUCUCGUCUCCAAUUUACUGAGAAAAGGGAACCCUUUAUUUGUGAAGCUUCUCAAGUUUCCUUUUCCCACAUCAAAAUUAAAAGAAGUCUAAUACAUAGACUUCUUUUCUUGGCAAUAGAUGACAAAAGAUCCCACCCCAAUUCCACAAGCCACUUAUAAAUUGUAGACUGCAUAUGACAAACACCUUUUAAAAUGCAUACUAAGCUUAUCAGAAAGUGAGAGAAAAACCAGAGACCAAACACAAAAGCUGAUAGUGAAAAGCCAGAGGUAAUAUAUAAUGGCGGUGCUUUGACUACCUGAGAGGCAUGACAUUAAAUAUGAGACCUCCAAAGCCAGGCUCCUCAAAGGGUUCUAUCUUGACAGAAAGUAUAUAACCAAAAUAAUAAUAACAAUAAAUAAAAAUCCACAAAGGCAAAGAGAGAAGAAAGCUGCCUCAGCUUGUGUUAUAUAUGUAGAAAAACAAUCUCUCCCCUGAGAAUUUAUAAAACUGGCCUGACUCUACAUAGGUCUGUAGUCAAAUUCAUGCUAAAGCUUUAACAUGAAGGUGACCGUAAUUUGAUAAUGGCCUGAGGAGCCUAGCAAAAGCUAACAUACUCUAGAAGAAUGUGUCCUCUGUCCAGGCCCACUGAAAUGCACCCAGAUAAAGCCCUGCUGGCCGUGAGCUCACAAACUGAAACUAAAGAACACAUGAGAAAACUAACACCAUGAUUGAGAACCAGCCUCCCAGGACUUCAGAUGAUACAGUUGUCAGAUACAGACUGCAAAAUAACUAUGCAAGAAUGUUUAAAGAUAUUUUAAAAAUAUGAUAAAGGAACAAGAUGUUAACAAAAAGGACUAGAAAGGUUUGAAAAUUCAUCAAAACAUAACAACCUUUUUAUUUGCUUUUUAUCUCAUUUCCCCAAUCACAGGAAGAAGCUCCCUUCCCCCAUUUCUGAGGUCAAGCUCAGACUACGUACUUGAUUGCUUGCCUCGUAAGACUUCCAAGUUCUGGAGGCUGGAAUUCCAAAAUCAAGUCGACAACAGAGCCAUGCUCCCUCUAAGAGCUCUAGAGGAAGACCCUUCCUUGCCUCUUCCAGCUUCUGGUGGCCCCAGGCAUUCCUUGGCUUGUGGCGGCAAAACUUCAGCUUCUGCCUUAUCUUCACAUAAUUUACAUUCUUCUUUGAAUGUUUCUGUGUCUUUUCACAUGGACUUCUUAUGAGGAUACCAGUCACUGGAUUUAGGACCUACCCUAAUGCAGAGAGAUUCCUAGAAGUGGAACUACUGGGUUAUAUGGCAAUUUCAUGUUUAACAUUUUGAGAAACUGCCACACUGUUUGACCAAGUGGCAGCACCAUUUUGCACUCUUGUGGCCGGAGAUUGGAGAGAGAAGAGGGAAUAAGAGGAGGUGUUAAGAUUCAGCAUUUAUGGUGAGGGAACAAGAACAUUCCCUUUCAACCAUUUGAGUUCAACAAUUUAAGUUCAACCAUUUGAAUUCAACAGGGGAACUCAAAGAGUAGAGAUUGGGUGCACCUAUAAAAAGGUGAGCUGGCAUGUUCCUCGACAGCUGGAGGCUUACUGGCUGUAGAAACCCCAGGCUCACCAUGGAUCUGCCAUCACAGAGGAACUGAAGGUGGUGGCACUUUCUGUUUGGCCUCAAUCCACUAAUCAAGAUUUUUUCUCAUACGGGAAAGAGGCUAACUCAAGAUAAUUAGAGAUCUCAAAGCCAACAAAAGUAACCUAAAUUACAAAACUGUGAAUAAAUAAAUUACAGGCCUAUGAACAAGAAAAUAUUUACUCCUCAUUCUUUCUCUCACGACUGGGGAAUGUGAAUCAGAAACCAUGACACCCACAUAUAAUUUAGCUUUGAAAGGUGACCCCUGUCCACUACCAUCAACCCCCACGCCCCAAUUCCUGAUGAGUGUCCUGAUUCCUGCAACACCCUCAUCCUUAGAAUAAAAUAUAGAAACUCUUGUUGCAAAAC
This 2869-nucleotide long non-coding RNA is filed under the name Homo sapiens (human). Its description in RNAcentral is "HSALNT0273780". The record is from RNAcentral. Lineage: Eukaryota; Metazoa; Chordata; Mammalia; Primates; Hominidae.